CCAUGAACUCCAGAUGCUUUAUCCGGUAAACAAAAGUUCCUUGGUGAAUCUGAUAUUUAUGUCAAUAUGGAUAAAUAUCAUUCUUUACAAUUUGGUGUCAAUAUCAUCCAUGCAUGAGUGGCAUAUUGCUAGCACUUUUUUUUAAGAAAAAUAAAUAUUCUGUAGUUAACUGAACUGCAGUUUUUAGAAAAACUUUAGGAAAUUACUGUGUUAGUCAUCAUUUCAAGCUCCAUUGUGUCACUGGUAGUGGUCUACAAACUGCUUUAUCUGCAGACAAGUAAUAUGAAUUUUACAGUAGCACUUGUCGUCAGCCUUUGUUAUUGAUAUCUGUUUUCAGCUAAUAUGUGAAUCUUAAAGGUCUGAUGUAUUGGUUUUCUUCUGUAGAUUCAUUUUUGGUUCAUUACAUCUGACAGCCAUCAACAUGAGUUGAGGAGCAUAGCUUCUGUAACUGAAGGCUGUGUAGGAAAUUUGCAACAAGAAUAGGAGAGGCUGAGAAUUUGCUUGCAAAUAAUGUUAUUGUACGCGCCAUAGCAAUGUGGAUGUAAUUUAAAUUAAGUUUUACAUAUUCAAGGCUGAGGAGGCUUUUUAUUUUUCACUAAGCUCCGAAUAAACACAUUUAAGCAGGUUUUUAUUAUCUAUUUUUGUCUGAGUUCUAACAACAGUUGAUUUUCCAGGCCUCCCCACUUUUCCCUUUUUGAUGGUUAUUUUCCAGGCCAUGUUUGUGAAUGUUUAAAGCUGCAUGAUUGUUCGUUUGGGUCGUCAUUUGCCCACUGCAUGCUUUCUGACGGUUGAGUUGAUCAGCUACCCCAUCUUUCCUGAAGGGAACAGAGAGCUGUCCAUAUUAGAUGGCUGUCCAUCUCAAGCUUUGGUGAAGUAUUAAUCUUGCUCUAACAAUUUGGCACAUAUUAACUGAAUGAUUCACCAUGGUUUCUGAUGACCCAAAGAUUGAUUUAAAGAUUGAUUUUGAUGAUCACAAAACCUUGAAGUAUAAAUACUAAUGUUUGUGUUGCAAGAAGAAAGAUAUUUAUUUUGCAAGGAACAUAGCAUGUUGGAAGAACACAAGAAGGCCUCCAAAGCUCUCAAGAAAAGUUGGAAGAAAGCUACAAUUUAUUGGCCCAAGUUCCAAGUUCAAAUGAUUCAAGUUGGAGAAGCAAAUUCAAAGAAAAAUUUAAAAGAAUAGUCCUCGAGUCGACUCCUGAAGAAUUCGAGUCGACUCCGAUGCUUGCCGAGUCGACUCCAGAGUAGAACGAGUCGACUCCAGAGAGUAACAGACAAAAAAACAGAGAAGCUAUUUUGGACCCUGAGAGCCGAGUCGACUCCUGAAGAACUCGAGUCGACUCCGAUGGCUUGGCAGGUCGACUCCUAAGGAAGCUAGAGUCGACUCCCAGAGAAAAACAAGCAAAAAGUCAGAGAGCCAAUUUCA
RNAcentral lists this long non-coding RNA (1423 nucleotides) under Phoenix dactylifera (date palm). RNAcentral describes it as "long non-coding RNA (PDAC_LNC009067)". The record is from RNAcentral. Lineage: Eukaryota; Viridiplantae; Streptophyta; Magnoliopsida; Arecales; Arecaceae.